UAAUAUUCUAUUAUAUAAACGUACCAGUUUUGUCUCUUCUAGAUAAUGCUAUCUGCUCACACAACUCCCAACUUUCCUCGGGAGUAAGGAUUGUUGGUGUAAAGGCAAAACAUGUUGGGUCUGCAUGUAAACCAACACCUCCAUUGCGAGAAGUAAGAAUCAUUUUCCAACCUGCAAAUUGUAAUUUCCUUUUAAGUCAGGGAUUAAAAGGCAUUUAUGAAACUUUUAAGUAAAUCACUUAAGUAAUGUAUGAAAAAGUAAAGAGCUCGCCUCUUUCUUGGGGGAAAACGUCUUUUAUUAGAUCCCAGUCUUCAUUUUUCCAUACAUCAUCGAUGACAAUUAAAUGUCUAGAUUUUCCCAGCAAUAGAAAGAGCUCUGCCUGGAGU
Molecule: long non-coding RNA, 386 nt
Organism: Brassica rapa (field mustard)
Lineage: Eukaryota; Viridiplantae; Streptophyta; Magnoliopsida; Brassicales; Brassicaceae
Source: RefSeq, a predicted model, not a curated record